GAUGAACGCUGGCGGCGUGCCUAAUACAUGCAAGUCGAGCGAACAGACGAGGAGCUUGCUCCUCUGACGUUAGCGGCGGACGGGUGAGUAACACGUGGAUAACCUACCUAUAAGACUGGGAUAACUUCGGGAAACCGGAGCUAAUACCGGAUAACAUGUUGAACCGCAUGGUUCAACAGUGAAAGACGGUCUUGCUGUCACUUAUAGAUGGAUCCGCGCCGCAUUAGCUAGUUGGUAAGGUAACGGCUUACCAAGGCAACGAUGCGUAGCCGACCUGAGAGGGUGAUCGGCCACACUGGAACCGAGACACGGUCCAGACUCCUACGGGAGGCAGCAGUAGGGAAUCUUCCGCAAUGGGCGAAAUCCUGACGGAGCAACGCCGCGUGAGUGAAGAAGGUCUUCGGAUCGUAAAACUCUGUUAUUAGGGAAGAACAAAUGUGUAAGUAACUAUGCACGUCUUGACGGUACCUAAUCAGAAAGCCACGGCUAACUACGUG
RNAcentral lists this ribosomal RNA (497 nucleotides) under uncultured bacterium. Its description in RNAcentral is "partial 16S ribosomal RNA". It matches the Rfam family "Bacterial small subunit ribosomal RNA", at positions 28 to 507 of the family's 1533-position model. The record is from RNAcentral.